AUAGUCAGUCGGUCUGUCGCUUUUUAGUUUAUAAAGAGAGGAAAGUCCGGACAACACAGAGUACCUUACUAUCUAACGGAUAGCUGUUUGUGAGAGCAGAGUUAAGUAGAAGAAAAUAACCGCCGAUUCGGUAAGGGUGAGAAGGUAAGGUAAGAGCUUACCGGUUCUUAUAGCAAUAUAGGAAGCCGUACAACUUAAGGGUUGCAAGGUCAUGUACACCGGCGCAUGUAGGGCUACUCGUCCGAAGCCGGGGGGUAGACUGCUAGAAUUUAACGGCGACGUUAAAUCCAGAUAAAUGACAGACAUUCCGGUUUAUCCGGAAUACAGAAUCCGGCUUAUAGAUUGACUAUGAAA
Molecule: RNase P RNA, 354 nt
Filed under: Candidatus Symbiothrix sp.
Lineage: Bacteria; Pseudomonadati; Bacteroidota; Bacteroidia; Bacteroidales
Description: RNase P RNA component class A
Rfam family: Bacterial RNase P class A
About the family: Ribonuclease P (RNase P) is a ubiquitous endoribonuclease, found in archaea, bacteria and eukarya as well as chloroplasts and mitochondria. Its best characterised activity is the generation of mature 5'-ends of tRNAs by cleaving the 5'-leader elements of precursor-tRNAs.
Source: RNAcentral